UUUCUGAAGUUUCAUACCACUAUUAUUGGUCUUGGAGACCAAUACAUUAUUACUGUUUGAGCAAAGUCCAAGAUUAUUCGAGAAAAAGAAUAGUCAAAAUAUAUCAUUAAACUGUUAGUUACCCUAUAUGACAAUACUUACUGACAGUAGUAACGUUUGUACGUAUUCUACACAAUUGGAACUGAUGUCCUUUAAUGGCUUUGGCUCGAUUAAUAACACGAAAGAACUUAAAUGGUUGGUUCUUCGAAGAGAACCUGCUGGCUGCUGCCAGAAAGAACAGCUACCUCCAGAUGCAAAUCAACUAACAUGUUGAUACAUUAACUAACAACCCUACAUAAAUAACUACAGCAUCUAUUUGGAUUGCAUCAUAGUAUAUAUGAUUAUAUGGACAUCUUGGUUAACGAAAUCUUGGGCUCAUGGACUACAACUCUUUUUUGUUGUAAGCCCAUACACCUAAACACAAGUCUUACCAAUAACAAUCCAGACACCCUGAAUCAAUACCCAGCCCAUAGAAAGAUAAAAUGAAAAAAAAUAUUUCAACUACCUCAGAGACCCCGCCAUAAAAGGUUACUUGGGUGGUUCUGUGUCUUGUAUUUUGUCCAAGUAAGUGUCCAAGAUUUGAAUUUUAUCAUCGUGUACAUGUAGUAACACAUUUUCUUAGUUAAGUUUUCAAAUUUUAA
Non-coding RNA from Arachis ipaensis, 680 nucleotides. The record is from RefSeq and is a predicted model, not a curated record. NCBI's taxonomy places the organism in Eukaryota, Viridiplantae, Streptophyta, Magnoliopsida, Fabales, Fabaceae.